CAGUCAAUGGGCGUUUCAGCCCCGCGCAGCGCGCGAUCUACCGGGUGGUGCUGGCCGCCCAGCGGGCAGCCGUCGCCAAGGUGCAGCCGGGCAACCACUGGAAUGAACCGCACGAUGCGGCCGUGCGCGCAAUCACCCAAGGGCUGGUGCGUAUUGGCCUGCUCAAGGGCCCGGUGGCCGGCCUCAUCAAGGACGAGGCGUACAGGAAAUUUUUCAUGCACCGUACCGGACACUGGCUCGGCAUCGACGUGCACGAUGUGGGUGACUACAAGGUCGGUGACGAGUGGCGCGUGUUUGAACCGGGCAUGGUGCUGACAGUAGAG
RNAcentral lists this unclassified non-coding RNA (323 nucleotides) under uncultured bacterium. RNAcentral describes it as "contains 16S-23S intergenic spacer region". The record is from RNAcentral.